UACGUAGGGUGCAAGCGUUAAUCGGAAUUACUGGGCGUAAAGCGUGCGCAGGCGGCUUUGCAAGACAGAUGUGAAAUCCCCGGGCUUAACCUGGGAACUGCAUUUGUGACUGCAUAGCUGGAGUGCGGCAGAGGGGGAUGGAAUUCCGCGUGUAGCAGUGAAAUGCGUAGAUAUGCGGAGGAACACCGAUGGCGAAGGCAAUCCCCUGGGCCUGCACUGACGCUCAUGCACGAAAGCGUGGGGAGCAAACAGG
RNAcentral lists this ribosomal RNA (253 nucleotides) under uncultured bacterium. Its description in RNAcentral is "partial 16S ribosomal RNA". It matches the Rfam family "Bacterial small subunit ribosomal RNA", at positions 524 to 776 of the family's 1533-position model. The record is from RNAcentral.